Molecule: ribosomal RNA, 361 nt
Filed under: uncultured Acidobacteriota bacterium
Lineage: Bacteria; Pseudomonadati; Acidobacteriota
Description: bacterial SSU rRNA
Rfam family: Bacterial small subunit ribosomal RNA
Source: RNAcentral
UGGCGACGGGUGAGUACACGUGACUACCUACCCUCAGUGGGGAAUACUUCGGGAAACGAGGCUAUACCGCAUACAUCGCGAGUUGGAAUCUUGCGAUCAAGGAGCAAUUCGCUGGAGGAGGGGGUCGCGGCUGAUUAGCUAGUUGGCAGGGUAACGGCCUACCAAGGCGAUGAUCAGUAGCCGGCCUGAGAGGGCGCACGGCCACACUGGAACUGAAACACGGUCCAGACUCCUACGGGAGGCAGCAGUGGGGAAUUUUGCGCAAUGGGGGAAACCCUGACGCAGCAACGCCGCGUGGAGGAUGAAGUCCCUUGGGACGUAAACUCCUUUCGAACGGGACGAAUAAUGACGGUACCGUAUG